Molecule: long non-coding RNA, 1338 nt
Filed under: Ananas comosus (pineapple)
Lineage: Eukaryota; Viridiplantae; Streptophyta; Magnoliopsida; Poales; Bromeliaceae
Description: long non-coding RNA (ACOM_LNC010204)
Source: RNAcentral
UAAACUUAUGAGAACAGCCAAAAACAGGCAACGGUGCAACAUUAUCAGGAUUAGACUAGUUAUUAGAAUCAUAAUAGAUUUUUAAAAAAAGAAGAGAAAGAGAGAAUGACAAUAAGAUUGGUUAAAAAAAAAAAGACCAUUAAAUCUUUCCAGCAUCAGCAUCCACUAUUGAAGAUUCUCCUUCCACCACCUUCAGCAAGCCACUAUAAGCUUCCAUCACCUUCAAGACAACUGUAAAACUAAAGGCAUCUUCUUUCCAACGCACUACAAGGAAUCCACUUUACAUCUGGCCAGUAUCUACACUCUUCUUCACCGACUCAAAGUAUUUUUCAUGUUCCUGUAUCUUGAAAUUUAAUAGGCUUUUUCAAAGGCAUACGUUUUCCUAAGGAUUUUACGUUUUUUCCUUAGGGAUAAAUUUCAUUUUCUAUUACAUAAGAUACCGGUCUUCUAUGAACGUUUCCUGAAGAGUAUGGCCUAUAUAGUAAAGGAGCCGUUUCAUGGAAAGGAGUUGCAGUUGUGUCUGUGGAGAACCCUUCGCCCUCUUCCACAAGAGUUAUUUCUAAGUUAUGGGGAAUUUCAUCUUUUAUUUCUAAAAUUUCUUCUGCGGCUUUUUCUAAGUUUUUAAUAUUGUCACGGUCUUUCCAAGUAAAUAAGGGCCUUUGCUUAUAAGUUUCAAGAUUACCAAAGUUUGUCCCUUUCUAUCCUCUCCUUUCUUUUUUGGUUUAUUUGUGCCAUCAAGGCGUGUUCUUCUUCGAAGGUUAAAUCAUCCUUAUCUUCUUCAUCAGUCUUAUUAUAACAAUUGCUUUCUAUGUUUUCCAAGUUAGUUCGGAAUCUAAAGGCACAUUAAAAGUUGUUUCGUUAGUAGGAAGAUUUAGAUCCCUUCUAGAUUCUAUAUCAUCCUCAGUACUUUCACUUUCUUGUGGCCGACUCUUAUAAUUACUGAAACUUAUAGAAUUUCGUCCCUGGGUUGAGUGAUAAUAUAUGGUAUCUGUAGGUAUUAGGAUGUUAUUUUGUCUGCAGAAUUUAUCAAGAUCCCAUUCUAAACCAGCGUAUUUUUUUAAUAAUUUCAUUCCUUCCCACUAAGUCACGUAUAUAUAUAUAUAGAGAGAGAGAGAGGAGCUAGAAUACUCUCAAAAGCACCAAGAGGGUGGUGCUUUUGAGUUUUUAACCAUUGGAUGGAGAGAUAUAGGGUUGAGAUGAUUGUGGUAGGUGGUGGUACGUGGUGGUAGGUGGAAUAGUGUUUGAUCCAAGGGUAUUAGUAAUUAAGGAGUAGAUCCAAGGGCUAGAAACUUAGAAGCACCAAUGGGUUGGUGCUUCUAAAAGUAUUCUAGCUCAAUU